Molecule: long non-coding RNA, 810 nt
Organism: Pteropus alecto (black flying fox)
Lineage: Eukaryota; Metazoa; Chordata; Mammalia; Chiroptera; Pteropodidae
Exons: 2
Source: RefSeq, a predicted model, not a curated record
UUAAAACUAAAUCUGUGGACCCCAAACCCAGCACAGAGUCCGCGGAUUUCGACCUCACUGUCGCUCAGGCAGUUCGGACAACUUCGGAAAGGUAACAAUUAUUUAAAUGUGCUUCCUUCGCUGUUCUGGAGGCGUAUACAUAAACUGUCCCAAUCCUAAACGUCCGAAACUAUGAACAGAACAAGAAUCAUAGCUGCGGAGACCAUGUGGAAGUCCCUCUCCCAAGUCAGCUGCCAAAGGUCACACAGCAGGAAAGGAACCAUCCAGAAGAGUGGCGAGAAACACAUAGAAGGCGAGCCAGUGACCAUCUAAAUUAAGAAUGAGUGGAACGACCUUCCUUCCCAGGAAUAGGAAAAUGGAAAAUGCUACUCAUUCAACAAACCAAUUUGUCAAUCUGAACGAAGCGCCUCCGUGUCAAUUCCCGACUGGUCUCUCCAAUAAUUUUUUUAAACUCACCGGGACAGACGGAGGAAAAAAAAAACAACUAAAAUCCAAUGGUGUAAUUAGUGGUUUGGAGGCUUGGAAUAAAAACAACAUGUAAUGACCAAACCCUUAACAAGAGGGUCACCAGCACGGUCAUAUAACUCUGUGGAGUUAUCAAAGUAACAUAUUUCAAUUCAGCAUCUGCGUCAACUGUUUUUUUCUCCAUGUCGGCGUCUAGUUGCAAGUCAUUUUAUCUCUAUUAUUGUUUUAAAAUUCAUGUCAUCUUCAGUCUAAUGAGUCCUAUCACUUUAACCUUUCUAUAAUAGUUUUUUAAUGUUUAAUGUGCUUUAAAAUGGACAAAGUUAUAUUAAAAAAAAUAAACCGCUU